CGCACGGGUAAGUCCAGUUCCAUGUAUCUGAAUCUGUUUUCUCCUUUGUCAUGUCUCUUCUGAAUGAACCCUAACACAAGUUUGACUUUGAAAAGUUUUUUCGUUUUCUGGUCAAUGAAGGAGAUUACAUCAACCACGUGUGAGUUAAGAAAAUAAAUGGAGCUUACGCCUUUAGUUGAUUUUAUUUUUUAGAUUUGGGCUGCAUUUUCACAUAAAUAAUGUGAAGUUCAAUGUCAUUUUUUUACCUUAAAGCUCGCAAUAGCGACCAGACAAAAGGUCUCCACAAGAAAUAGAAUGAUAUACAUGAAAAGUAACUGGAUAUAUAGAAGCUAGAGAAAAUAAGAUCAAUUAUGAAAAAAUUAUGAUUAUAAUAGUAAUUGUAAUCUUAAUCAGUGAAUAAUAACAUUAACUUAACAUCAAAUUUCACUGUUAUAUAUUUGCUACUGGUAAGUCUGGUAUUAGGGGCAGAUCAAACAUCAAUUCUGGAGUUUUGAAACAAAAAUCAGGAUUAUAUGCAAACUAAUAACUGUAAACUGCCAGCCAUACAUUACUAAU
Molecule: long non-coding RNA, 555 nt
Filed under: Brassica napus (rape)
Lineage: Eukaryota; Viridiplantae; Streptophyta; Magnoliopsida; Brassicales; Brassicaceae
Description: long non-coding RNA (BNAP_LNC010470)
Source: RNAcentral